GUCCGUGCUCUGUAGGAAUCUACUGGGAUACUACUCAUUUCAGACGCCUCUUCUUCUUCUCUCUUCAUCGUCUUCUUCUUCUCUCUUUCCUUUCUGUAAAAAACACCAACAUCCCUAUCUUUUUUUCUCCUCUCCUCAACUCUCUCUCUUCUCCUUCACGCGCUGGAAUCUAUUGGGACAAAAUACCCGCUGCCGCUGCCAGUGAUUGAAUAAUUAGUGCACUAGAGAAGUACUGUGUGCCAGCCAAUAUCUUGAGCUUUGUACUGUCAAUUGGGACGCAAUACCAGCUGCCAUGCGAGUUCAUUCGAAUGCUUGUCACACCCCAGCACAACGAUCUUGAUUGGCGAUUAUGCAGCUUAGGAUUCGUCAAAAAAAUUAAAAAAAAAAUUAUGGAACUAAAGACACGAAAUGGAAAGCAACCAUCGUGGGUCGCGCAUACCGAAAAGUUUCUGUAUAUCUUGUCCCUUGUAGUACGAUAUCAGGCCCUAACAUACCGAACCUUGGUGGGGUUGGGAGGUGGCGGCAGCCUGGUGAUACAUGGACGGAAGUCGCUUUUACCGGAGAAAUAAAUUUACUCUACUAUGCUUUUAAGGCUCGUUCAAAUUAGAGAUAAUCAUCCUCCCUACACUCGGCCCAUUCACACAUUGACCGAGAAGAAAACCGAUGCAACUCUUACACCCUGCUCAUCCUUAACAGAGAGCCCAGGGACGCCAUUGAUCUCUUAGGUCAUAUUAACUUUCGGGGCUAGAUUGGCAUCAAUCCGUAACCAAAUAGUCAAACAAGGAACCAAGGCAUCUGACUCAUACUAGCCAGUAGCUACCUCCAUAUAUGAA
This 833-nucleotide long non-coding RNA is filed under the name Populus trichocarpa (black cottonwood). RNAcentral describes it as "long non-coding RNA (PTRI_LNC003240)". The record is from RNAcentral. Lineage: Eukaryota; Viridiplantae; Streptophyta; Magnoliopsida; Malpighiales; Salicaceae.